UACGGAGGGUGCAAGCGUUGUUCGGAAUUACUGGGCGUAAAGAGCGUGUAGGCGGUCUGUUAAGUCGGGUGUGAAAGCCCUGGGCUCAACCCAGGAACUGCAUUCGAAACUGGCAAACUGGAGUGUCGGAGAGGGUGGUGGAAUUCCCGGUGUAGAGGUGAAAUUCGUAGAGAUCGGGAGGAACACCGGUGGCGAAGGCGGCCACCUGGAAGAUAACUGACGCUGAGACGCGAAAGCGUGGGGAGCAAACAGG
Molecule: unclassified non-coding RNA, 253 nt
Filed under: uncultured Myxococcales bacterium
Lineage: Bacteria; Pseudomonadati; Myxococcota; Myxococcia; Myxococcales
Description: contains 16S-23S intergenic spacer region
Rfam family: Bacterial small subunit ribosomal RNA
Source: RNAcentral